RNAcentral lists this ribosomal RNA (253 nucleotides) under uncultured bacterium. RNAcentral's name for it is "partial 16S ribosomal RNA". It matches the Rfam family "Bacterial small subunit ribosomal RNA", at positions 524 to 776 of the family's 1533-position model. The record is from RNAcentral.
UACGGAGGGGGCUAGCGUUGUUCGGAAUUACUGGGCGUAAAGCGCACGUAGGCGGCUUUGUAAGUUAGAGGUGAAAGCCCGGAGCUCAACUCCGGAAUUGCCUUUAAGACUGCAUCGCUUGAAUCCGGGAGAGGUGAGUGGAAUUCCGAGUGUAGAGGUGAAAUUCGUAGAUAUUCGGAAGAACACCAGUGGCGAAGGCGGCUCACUGGACCGGUAUUGACGCUGAGGUGCGAAAGCGUGGGGAGCAAACAGG